RNAcentral lists this ribosomal RNA (497 nucleotides) under uncultured bacterium. Its description in RNAcentral is "partial 16S ribosomal RNA". It matches the Rfam family "Bacterial small subunit ribosomal RNA", at positions 28 to 523 of the family's 1533-position model. The record is from RNAcentral.
GAUGAACGCUGGCGGCGUGCCUAACACAUGCAAGUCGAGCGAGAUGUAUAUGGACGAAACUUCGGUCUAGGAAAUAUAUUGACAGCGGCGGACGGGUGAGUAACGCGUAGGCAACCUGCCCCAAACACAGGGAUAGCCUCGGGAAACCGGGAUUAAAACCUGAUAAUGCCAAAUAGUCACAUGGCUGUUUGGCCAAAGAUUUAUCGGUUUGGGAUGGGCCUGCGUCUGAUUAGUUUGUUGGUGGGGUAACGGCCUACCAAGACUACGAUCAGUAGCCGACCUGGGAGGGUGAUCGGCCACAUUGGAACUGAGACACGGUCCAAACUCCUACGGGAGGCAGCAGUGGGGAAUAUUGCACAAUGGGCGAAAGCCUGAUGCAGCAACGCCGCGUGAGCGAUGAAGGCCUUUGGGUCGUAAAGCUCUGUCCUUGGGGAAGAAACAAAUGACGGUACCCAAGGAGGAAGCCCCGGCUAACUACGUGCCAGCAGCCGCCGUAA